UCCACCCCACGGCCUCCAGAGCCCCGGAGCUGCCCCUCCGCCACCGCCACCGCCACCACCGGCCCGCGGGUGCCGCGCGCGUCGGGAGCGAUUGCCCGCGGCGUCUGAAAACGCUGCUCCAGCGUGACCAGUGCGAAGUGCGUGGUUCACGAGGUGAGAAGCAGUGGCGUCCUUGCACGCCUUCCCGUCGAGCUGGUCCCUCCUGCCUCGGCAAGAAACCAGCGUUUUCUGAGACAGGGCUGCUAAAGGUGCCUCUGACCCCGCCGCUGCAGGUGCGUGGUGAGCCGGACACAAACCUGCCGGCUGUCCCUCAGGCACUGCAGGCGUGGUGGGUGCACAAACCCGCCGGCUGUCCUCAGACACUGCAGGGGUGGUGGGUGCACAAGCAGCUUAUCCCGGGUAGCACCCUGCCGCCCAGGCAUGGUGGCAGCACGAGGAGAGCAGAAAAGUGAACCCUUUGGCUGAGUUUUCCUCUUUGUGAUUUAGCCUGGUUUGUUUCCCUCUUACUUUUCAUACGCACGUUUUCCAUCCUGUGUCUUAAAGUGUAUCCCUUUUAUAUGCCUUUCCACCUUCCACUGCUUUUGUGUGCUUUUACCUUUAAGAUACUCAAACACAGAGCAUCUUAAAUUUCAUUUGCUCGGAUGCGCGAGGAGUGCAAAAGCCCGAGAGAUGCAUAUAGAAAAUUUAAGUGAAUUUAUGCUCGUUUGGCAUUGUGGAAAACUACUGCCCACGGAGCACGCUCAGCACUACCACAAGCAUGCCCACAUCAGUCAGCACGUAGCACUGCUCUGGACGACUGUCUCUGGAAAUGGGGAAAAUGCUCUAGUCUCCAGCUAAUAUGUCCCUGCAGGAUCAUUUAGUGGCUUGUUGAACCUCAGUAUUCCUGCGUGGUGAAGCCAAGGCCAGUAUUUGUGUCAGCUGCAGAGAAUGGCUGGAUGCACAUGAGAACAGACUGAUCUGUGACCCACACCAAGGGCCCACAGCAGUUAGCAGCAAUCACAGCAUCCGUCACUGAUCGCGUACAUUGACUUUAAUAAGCACAAGAAAAAACCUUCCAUUCCUUCUGAAAUUCUUCUAAUAGAUGAGUUUGAGAUUUAAAAGUUGGUUCUUGGUGACACUGCUCAUGAAGACACAACCACAUUAUACUUAAGGCACAAAGCCCAUGGAGACAUUUCCUGCAGGAGAUUUUUAUAUUCCUGUGCAGGACCAAUGGUAGUGUCUCUGUAUUUGUUCCUGGAUAUGUGCAGCAGUCUUGUGAAGCAAAAGGUAGGCAGGAACAGAAAGGAGGCAGCAGAAGCCUAGAAGAGAUGAGCCCAGCAACAUACAGUAUAUUGCCAUUUUUUCCUGAGCAUUAAGGCUGGUAAAGGCUAAUCAGUGUUGUACAGGUAACUCUAACAGUGGGUAACCUUAGGGACUUGAUGUAAUGAAUGCAUACAGGCAGCCUGUGAACUUCCACAUGGUGACCAAGGACUGCUGAUGUAGAGUAUCUCAACCAAGGAACAUCACCAACAGUAUCAUAUUAGCAAAACCUAGCAAUUACAGUGUAAGAGUAUCUCCUGAAAUAACAAAGAUCAAGGUUUAGUUCAGUCAAAUUAUGAACCAUGAUGACUCACAGUCAUUCAAGGCAGUCAUCAUGGCACUUAGAUGUUCUCAAAAAAAAAAAAAUUAAAAACACAUUUAGCUUUGAGAAUCAGUAAGAGCAUUUUUGGAGCAUGACAAAAUUUAUCUACUGAUUUCAAAGGAGUGAGUCCAAACCAGGUGAAUUGCUCCUGGCUUCACCUUUCAGAUUCUGAGUGGAUGUAAACAGGACACAGAUCAAGUCAGCCUUGCAUCUCACUCUCUAAAAGCAUCAUUCUUAAUUUUUCCCACCUUCAGUAUACCCUGCCAUAAAUAUAUAAAAUAUUUUGCUCAAUUUGGAAAAACCAUUUUAAUUCUUAGAAGCAUAUAGGAAUAUAGCAAAUAAUGGCAUAGCCACAAUUCUCUUAGGCUGAGAAAAUGAUGACAAUAUUUCACAGACUGCUAGAAGUAAUGACUUGCUGUUUCACCUUGAUUAUGACAAACACAUACACACAUAUGGUGAUGAGUAAGUUGCCCACUGAGAUUCAUGGAACUGCUACAUCUGAAGGAAAAUUGAG
Long non-coding RNA from Zonotrichia leucophrys gambelii, 2135 nucleotides. RefSeq lists it as uncharacterized. The record is from RefSeq and is a predicted model, not a curated record. The transcript is spliced from 3 exons. NCBI's taxonomy places the organism in Eukaryota, Metazoa, Chordata, Aves, Passeriformes, Passerellidae.